AAAAGUAUUUUAAUGAAAAAUGAGGGAUUUUGAUACCCUUGAUAUGAGGUCCGCUUCUCAUUUUUUCAA
This 69-nucleotide transfer RNA is filed under the name Cucumaria pseudocurata. RNAcentral's name for it is "tRNA-Gln". Lineage: Eukaryota; Metazoa; Echinodermata; Holothuroidea; Dendrochirotida; Cucumariidae. The record is from RNAcentral.